RNAcentral lists this ribosomal RNA (335 nucleotides) under Stutzerimonas stutzeri. Its description in RNAcentral is "bacterial SSU rRNA". It matches the Rfam family "Bacterial small subunit ribosomal RNA", at positions 59 to 395 of the family's 1533-position model. The record is from RNAcentral. Lineage: Bacteria; Pseudomonadati; Pseudomonadota; Gammaproteobacteria; Pseudomonadales; Pseudomonadaceae.
AAGUCGAGCGGAUGAGUGGAGCUUGCUCCAUGAUUCAGCGGCGGACGGGUGAGUAAUGCCUAGGAAUCUGCCUGGUAGUGGGGGACAACGUUUCGAAAGGAACGCUAAUACCGCAUACGUCCUACGGGAGAAAGUGGGGGAUCUUCGGACCUCACGCUAUCAGAUGAGCCUAGGUCGGAUUAGCUAGUUGGUGAGGUAAAGGCUCACCAAGGCGACGAUCCGUAACUGGUCUGAGAGGAUGAUCAGUCACACUGGAACUGAGACACGGUCCAGACUCCUACGGGAGGCAGCAGUGGGGAAUAUUGGACAAUGGGCGAAAGCCUGAUCCAUCCAUU